Molecule: ribosomal RNA, 482 nt
Filed under: uncultured bacterium
Lineage: Bacteria
Description: partial 16S ribosomal RNA
Rfam family: Bacterial small subunit ribosomal RNA
Source: RNAcentral
AUUGAACGCUGGCGGCAUGCCUUACACAUGCAAGUCGAACGGUAACGGGCCUUCGGGUGCCGACGAGUGGCGCACGGGUGCGUAAUACAUCGGAACGUGCCCGAUCGUGGGGGAUAACGAGGCGAAAGCUUUGCUAAUAACGCAUACGAUCUACGGAUGAAAGCAGGGGACCGCAAGGCCUUGCGCGGACGGAGCGGCCGAUGGCAGAUUAGGUAGUUGGUGGGAUAAAAGCUUACCAAGCCGACGAUCUGUAGCUGGUCUGAGAGGAUGAUCAGCCACACUGGGACUGAGACACGGCCCAGACUCCUACGGGAGGCAGCAGUGGGGAAUUUUGGACAAUGGGCGCAAGCCUGAUCCAGCCCUGCCGCGUGAAGGAUGAAGGCCUUCGGGUUUUAAACUGCUUUUGUACGGAACGAAAAGCCUUCUUUUAAUACAGGAGGGUCAUGACGGUACCGUAAGAAUAAGCACCGGCUAACUACGUG